GAUGAACGCUGGCGGCGUGCCUAAUACAUGCAAGUCGAACGAACAGACGAGGAGCUUGCUCCUCUGACGUUAUCGGCGGACGGGUGCGUACCACGUGGAUAACCUACCUAUCAGACUGGGAUAACUUCGGGAAACCGGAUCUAAUACCGGAUAAUAUAUUGAACCGCAUGGUUCAAUAGUGAAAGACGGUUUUGCUGUCACUUAUAGAUGAAUCAGCGCCGCAUUAGCUAGUUGGUAAGGUAACGGCUUACCAAGGCAACGAUGCGUAGCCGCCCCGAAGGGGACGAUCGCCACACGGGAUGAGAGACACGGCCCAGACUCCGACGGGGAGACACAGCCGGGAAUCCUCCGGAAGGGGGCAAAGGCGAACAGAGGAAAGUCGGGGGAAGGAUGAAGGACCUCUGACGCGUAAAAGAUGGUAUUAGGGAAGAACAAAAGCUCUAGUAACCAGGAAGGUAUUGACGGUACCGAAUCAGAAAGCCACGGCUAACUACGUG
RNAcentral lists this ribosomal RNA (497 nucleotides) under uncultured bacterium. Its description in RNAcentral is "partial 16S ribosomal RNA". It matches the Rfam family "Bacterial small subunit ribosomal RNA", at positions 28 to 507 of the family's 1533-position model. The record is from RNAcentral.